GGGUAGUUCAAAUGCUUAAUACACUUGGUUGCUAACCAAGAGUUUGGUGGUUUGAAUCCACCCAGAGCCA
This 70-nucleotide transfer RNA is filed under the name Loxodonta africana (African savanna elephant). It matches the Rfam family "tRNA". Rfam says of the family: Transfer RNA (tRNA) molecules are approximately 80 nucleotides in length. Their secondary structure includes four short double-helical elements and three loops (D, anti-codon, and T loops). Lineage: Eukaryota; Metazoa; Chordata; Mammalia; Proboscidea; Elephantidae. The record is from Rfam by way of RNAcentral.